RNAcentral lists this ribosomal RNA (402 nucleotides) under uncultured Rhodovulum sp. Its description in RNAcentral is "bacterial SSU rRNA". It matches the Rfam family "Bacterial small subunit ribosomal RNA", at positions 353 to 772 of the family's 1533-position model. Lineage: Bacteria; Pseudomonadati; Pseudomonadota; Alphaproteobacteria; Rhodobacterales; Paracoccaceae. The record is from RNAcentral.
AGUGGGGAAUCUUGGACAAUGGGGGCAACCCUGAUCCAGCCAUGCCGCGUGAACGAUGAAGGCCUUAGGGUUGUAAAGUUCUUUCAGCUGGGAAGAUAAUGACGGUACCAGCAGAAGAAGCCCCGGCUAACUCCGUGCCAGCAGCCGCGGUAAUACGGAGGGGGCUAGCGUUGUUCGGAAUUACUGGGCGUAAAGCGCACGUAGGCGGAUUGGAAAGUUGGGGGUGAAAUCCCGGGGCUCAACCCCGGAACUGCCUCCAAAACUUCCAGUCUUGAGGUCGAGAGAGGUGAGUGGAAUUCCGAGUGUAGAGGUGAAAUUCGUAGAUAUUCGGAGGAACACCAGUGGCGAAGGCGGCUCACUGGCUCGAUUCUGACGCUGAGGUGCGAAAGCGUGGGGAGCAAA